GUUGAUAAGGUUAAGUGAAUAAGGGCGCACGGUGGAUGCCUUGGCACUAGGAGCCGAUGAAGGACGGGACUAACACCGAUAUGCUUUGGGGAGCUGUACGUAAGCUAUGAUCCAGAGAUUUCCGAAUGGGGGAACCCAGCAUCUUUUAUAGGAUGUUACGUAUACGUGAAUACAUAGCGUAUACGAGGUAGACGCAGAGAACUGAAACAUCUAAGUACCUGCAGGAAGAGAAAGAAAAUUCGAUUCCCUGAGUAGCGGCGAGCGAAACGGGAAAAGCCCAAACCAAUGAGCUUGCUCAUUGGGGUUGUAGGACUCCGAUAUGGUAGUUCUUUCAGAUAGUCGAAUGACUUGGAAAAGUCAGUCAGAGAGGGUGAAAGCCCCGUAGAUGAAAUUUGGAAGGCACCUAGGAGGAUCCUGAGUACGGCGGAACACGAGGAAUUCCGUCGGAAUCCGGGAGGACCAUCUCCCAAGGCUAAAUACUCCCUAGUGACCGAUAGUGAACCAGUACCGUGAGGGAAAGGUGAAAAGCACCCCGGAAGGGGAGUGAAAUAGAACCUGAAACCGUGUGCCUACAACAAGUCAAAGCCCGUUAAUGGGUGAUGGCGUGCCUUUUGUAGAAUGAACCGGCGAGUUACGAUUGCAUGCGAGGUUAAGUUGAAGAGACGGAGCCGCAGCGAAAGCGAGUCUGAAUAGGGCGUUUGAGUAUGUAGUCGUAGACCCGAAACCAUGUGAUCUACCCAUGUCCAGGUUGAAGGUGCGGUAAAACGCACUGGAGGACCGAACCCACGUACGUUGAAAAGUGCGGGGAUGAGGUGUGGGUAGCGGAGAAAUUCCAAACGAACUUGGAGAUAGCUGGUUCUCUCCGAAAUAGCUUUAGGGCUAGCCUCGGAAUUGAGAAUGAUGGAGGUAGAGCACUGUUUGGACUAGGGGCCCAUCUCGGGUUACCGAAUUCAGAUAAACUCCGAAUGCCAUUCAUUCAUAUCCGGGAGUCAGACUGUGAGUGAUAAGAUCCAUAGUCGAAAGGGAAACAGCCCAGACCACCAGCUAAGGUCCCAAAAUAUAUGUUAAGUGGAAAAGGAUGUGGGGUUGCACAGACAACUAGGAUGUUGGCUUAGAAGCAGCCACCAUUUAAAGAGUGCGUAAUAGCUCACUAGUCGAGUGACCCUGCGCCGAAAAUGUACCGGGGCUAAACAUAUUACCGAAGCUGUGGAGUACACCUUUAGGUGUAUUGGUAGGAGAGCGUUCUAAGGGCGUUGAAGGUAGAUCGUGAGGACUGCUGGAGCGCUUAGAAGUGAGAAUGCCGGUAUGAGUAGCGAAAGACAGGUGAGAAUCCUGUCCACCGAAUGACUAAGGUUUCCUGGGGAAGGCUCGUCCGCCCAGGGUUAGUCGGGACCUAAGCCGAGGCCGACAGGCGUAGGCGAUGGACAACAGGUUGAUAUUCCUGUACUCGUUGUUUUUGUUUGAGCAAUGGAGGGACGCAGGAGGCUAAGGAAUGCAGACGAUCGGAAAUGUCUGUCCAAGCAGUAAGUCUUGAUAGGAGUCAAAUGCUUCUAACUUUAAGGACAAGCUGUGAUGGGGAGGGAAAUAAUAGUACCGAAGUUCCUGACGUCACACUGCCGAGAAAAGCUUCUAGUGAGAAAACAACGACCCGUACCGCAAACCGACACAGGUAGUCGAGGAGAGAAUCCUAAGGUGAGCGAGAGAACUCUCGUUAAGGAACUCGGCAAAAUGACCCCGUAACUUCGGGAGAAGGGGUGCUGAUCGUCAGAUCAGCCGCAGUGAAUAGGCCCAAGCGACUGUUUAUCAAAAACACAGGUCUCUGCAAAAUCGUAAGAUGAAGUAUAGGGGCUGACGCCUGCCCGGUGCUGGAAGGUUAAGAGGAGUGCUUAGCGUAAGCGAAGGUACGAAUUGAAGCCCCAGUAAACGGCGGCCGUAACUAUAACGGUCCUAAGGUAGCGAAAUUCCUUGUCGGGUAAGUUCCGACCCGCACGAAAGGCGUAACGAU
RNAcentral lists this ribosomal RNA (2005 nucleotides) under Enterococcus mundtii. Its description in RNAcentral is "bacterial LSU rRNA". It matches the Rfam family "Bacterial large subunit ribosomal RNA", at positions 1 to 2008 of the family's 2925-position model. The record is from RNAcentral. Lineage: Bacteria; Bacillati; Bacillota; Bacilli; Lactobacillales; Enterococcaceae.